AAACCAACAGGGAUUGCCCUAGUAACGGCGAGUGAAGCGGCAACAGCUCAAAUUUGAAAUCUGGCCUUCGGGUCCGAGUUGUAAUUUGUAGAGGAUGCUUUUGGCGCGGUGCCUUCCGAGUUCCCUGGAAUGGGACGCCUUAGAGGGUGAGAGCCCCGUACGGUUGGACACUAAGCCUCUGUAAAGCUCCUUCGACGAGUCGAGUAGUUUGGGAAUGCUGCUCUAAAUGGGAGGUAAAUUUCUUCUAAAGCUAAAUAUUGGCCAGAGACCGAUAGCGCACAAGUAGAGUGAUCGAAAGAUGAAAAGCACUUUGAAAAGAGGGUUAAAUAGCACGUGAAAUUGUUGAAAGGGAAGCGUUUGCGACCAGACCUUUUCCUGGCGGAUCACCCGGUGUUCUCACCGGUGCACUUUGCCAGGUUGAGGCCAGCAUCGGUUUUCGUACGGGGGAGAAAAGCCUGGGGAACGUAGCUCUCUCGAGAGUGUUAUAGCCCCUCGCAUAAUACCCUUACGGGGACCGAGGACCGCGCCUUCGGGCAAGGAUGCUGGCGUAAUGGUCGUCAACGAC
This 565-nucleotide ribosomal RNA is filed under the name Kretzschmaria cf. lucidula BCC 18212. RNAcentral describes it as "eukaryotic LSU rRNA". It matches the Rfam family "Eukaryotic large subunit ribosomal RNA", at positions 62 to 648 of the family's 3401-position model. The record is from RNAcentral. Lineage: Eukaryota; Fungi; Ascomycota; Sordariomycetes; Xylariales; Xylariaceae.